UUGAAAAAUUAAUUCAAAAAGCCAUAGGGCCGAUCAACUGAAUGAGAGCUUUAUGAGUUGCAAUCUUGUUGAUAUUGGUGCAUAAAAAUGAUUUAGGCAAUAGGACUAAAAGCCUCAUAUCCAAAUUAUCACAUGCCUAACCCUACAUAAACCACUAGUGAGCCGGUUUGAGCCCCAAAAGCCUAUUUUCUUUGUUGAAAAUUUUGAAGUCACUAUAUUAGCCUACUUAUUAUAUCCGUUUGUUGGCCUAUAUUUUCUACCCUAGUCACUAAAAUUAAAGUGCUAGCACAUUAUUGGGAGGGUAUUUAUGGUGGCAAGGAAAAGAUGGAAGUCAUGGAACAUUCAUUAGGUGGUAUUCAUUUAUAUUGAGAUACAAAUGAAAAAACUCUCUCUUCAAACAAAAGUAAAAUAAAAAGGCAGCCUUUAAUGUGUAAAAAAAAGCCAAGGCUUGAAAAAAUAAAAAAUAAAAAGGCAGCCUUUUUACGUGUAAAAAAAGCCAGGGCUAGAAAAAAAAUAAAAUAAAAAGGCAGCCUUUCAUGUGUAAAAUAAAAAGCCAAGGCAAGUAAAAAAAUAAAAUAAAAUGGCAGCCUUUCAUGAGUUAAAAAAGCCAAGGCCAGAAAAAAGAAUAUCGAGCGAAAAACAGAAAUAUGCUCAAAAGAAUAAGAUCACUUGGUUUAGAAGGUAGAAAAAUCUCCAGUUUGGGGUGUUGAGCUGUCAGAAUUUUGUAUUUUAGUGAGAUGGGAAGGAUGUUGUGAGGGAUGUGCUAGUAUUUUAAGAAUGGUGAUAAGCUACUUAUCCAAAUAUGAUCACACCUUUACCAAAAGCCCCGUUACAUCCAAAUGAAAAGACCUUUUGAUUUAGGCAUCAUAUUGACUUGUGAGCGAUGAAUUUUGCUUGAUUUUGGGAGAAAGAUCUUAUGUGCUUAAAAUAAAGAAUAGCUGGAAGAACUUCUCUUUAUGAAUUAGCGACGAUGGUUUGAGACUCCCAAGACAUAAAUCGAACUAACAUUGAAGCAUUGGAUGCCUAGCUCUUAGGGAAUUAGUUCGUGUACAAUUCAUGUUCUAAAAGUUUUACUCGCGAGUGAAUUCGGGCUCAACCUAAUUUCUCUAAAUGAUUCGUGUGAUUUGACGUGACUUGAAGUAGAGGAUUAUCUAAUUUCUUGUGAAUGUGCUUAUUUAUCUAACUUGCUUGAGGGCGAGCAAGACUUAUGUUUGGGAAGUAUUUGAUGUGUGUGGGUAAUUGUUUGGGAAGUAUUUGAUGUGUGUGGGUAAUUGUUUAACUUGUUAUUACAUAAUGGAUGGAAUGGCGGGCAGUGUACUACUGCUCCGGUUCAAUUUUGACCACCUCACUAUUUAUUCCAGCGAGUUGAAGGGUAUAAAGUUGCAACCAAUAUUUGCUUCAAUAUUCAAACAUUUAUUUACUUUAGUUCGAUAUUUAGUGUGUCAUUUCAUACUAAAGCCAUCAAUGAAAAACUACUGCCAAAUCUUUAUGAUGCUCUACACUUGUUGGUACCUGAUAAAAUUGGGGUUGGACUUGCUUUGUCUAAUUCUGAAGAACACAAUAUCACCACGAUACCAGGAUGUGUGGUUAGUUAUUCUCUUCUUUGUACAUACAUUUAGACAUAAUUUUUUGUUUGUUGUAGGAAGUGGAAUACAUACAACAGUUUAUUAUUUUUAUCUCCUUGGAAUUCUUCAACUUGUUGCACUAAACCUUAACCCUUUUCUUGGCUGUAUUUAGGAAAGACUUUCUGUUUGAGUCAGAUUGCAGAGCUGCUGUGUACCAAUCCUGUUGCGUUUGAGGCUACUGAGAUAAUUCAGCAUAUUCUUGUGCUACUCUUAGUCGAUUUGAAGGCCUCUCGUUCUUGCAAAUGUUAUCUCUCGUGGAACUAAAGUGUUUUCCGUGAUAGUUCCUACUGCAUAAAUAGACUAGAAAGUACUUAGUCGAUCCGAAGGUCGAGGGUGGUAGGGGGCGACUGAGUUCUUAACUUAAAAGAUGAGGGGGAAAGGGUGGAAAACUGAAGGGGUGGAAAACUGAAGGCACAAGUCUAUUUAUUGAUUUUUGAGCUUGCUUUGUGAUCUUUUGUUUCUUGGUUGUUGCGCCUAUAUUUUUCCUACUUAUUUAAUUCAUUCUUUGCUGCAUUUUGCCGUUUUAUAAUUGAUCUGUUACACAUAUUAUAUUUUUGUUUGUUAUAAUUGAUCUGUUACAUACAUUUUAUUUUUGUUUGUUAUACUGUGCCUGACUUUUUUCUACUUUUUCUAAUCCACUUUUUGCUACCUUGCACCAUAAUUAAUUAAUACAUACAUAGCAUCCUAUUUUUCUUUGUCUCAUAUGCCCUGUACAAAUAUGUGCUAUAAAAGUGUUUCUUUGAUAUGUAAACCCCAUUGAUUGUCAAAUCUUGGAUUCUUAAUAUAUAUGUUAAAUGUUUUUAUAGCCUCUUUCCUAGUUACUUACUACACACAUUUCCUUUUAACUUUGGCAUUCGGUUUGCUGUAAUUGCAUCUAAAAAAGAAACCGUGGGCCAUGGAAGCUGGUUGGGCACUCAAUUAGUGUCAAGUAAAGAUACUUUCUAUGAGGAAUGGAAACUGCAGCUUGUUGCCACUAUGUGUACAAUACAUGGAAUCUAGACUACUUCGAUUUCUGUAUAUUUGGUCAAGUUCCUCAACAAUUUAAUUUAACUUAACAUCUCUUAUAUGCCAGUUCAGUAGUUUGUACAUAGUCUACUGUGUUUGAGUUUGUUUUCUUUACCUGUCCGUUUGAUGAUUCUGAUUGAUACAACAAAUUUUGGUUUACUGAGUGAACAUAAGAACAGAUUAAUAGUGUUGUAAUAUACUAUUCAACUUAACUAUGAAUUGUAAUGUUACCCCGUUCUAAAAUUUUCAGCUUGCCUGUAAUGUUUAUCCUUUGUGAAUGUUUCUGCUUCAGGAUCAGUCAAUAAGCGUCAACUUGUGACUCACCAUAUGAUGUGUAUUGCUCUACGAGCUGCUUUAGAUGCUUUAGGGAAGCUUGCAAAUUCAAGUGUUUGUUCCUUCCUAGGUUAUUGGUUAAUGUUAUUAUUGUGAAUUUCAGUCUAACCUUGGAUUUAUGACAUUCCAAUGUUUUCCUUCGGGAGAAAGGCAUUAGAGCAGUUUCUGGACCAUCUCAUUCAGUAUCACUGCUCUUUUUUGACCACCUCACUAUUUAUUCCAGCGAGUUGAAGGGUAUAAAGCUGCAACCAAUACUUGCUUCAAUAUUCAAACAUUUAUUUGUUAAACCUAACUUUAGUUCGAUAUUAAGUGUGUCAUUUCAUACUAAAGCCAUCAAUGAAGAACUUCUGCAUAAUCAGUCUGAUGCUCUACACUUGUUUGUACCUGAUAAAAUUGAAGUUGGUCUAGCUUUGUCUAAUUCUGAAGAACACGAUACCAGGAUCUGUGG
This is a long non-coding RNA of Salvia splendens (bonfire salvia), 3411 nucleotides long. RefSeq lists it as uncharacterized. The transcript is spliced from 2 exons. The record is from RefSeq and is a predicted model, not a curated record. Lineage: Eukaryota; Viridiplantae; Streptophyta; Magnoliopsida; Lamiales; Lamiaceae.